This 488-nucleotide ribosomal RNA is filed under the name uncultured bacterium. Its description in RNAcentral is "partial 16S ribosomal RNA". It matches the Rfam family "Bacterial small subunit ribosomal RNA", at positions 29 to 507 of the family's 1533-position model. The record is from RNAcentral.
ACGAACGCUGGCGGCGUGCUUAACACCUGCAAGUCGAACGGUGAAGGGAUCAGCUUGCUGGUCCUGGAUGAGUGGCGAACGGGUGAGUAACACGUGAGUAACCUGCCCCCUUCUUCUGGAUAACCGCAUGAAAGUGUGGCUAAUACGGGAUAUUCUGCGCCUGCUGCAUGGUGGGUGUGGGAAAGAUAUUGUUUCGGUGGGGGAUGGGCUCGCGGCCUAUCAGCUUGUUGGUGGGGUGAUGGCCUACCAAGGCGGUGACGGGUAGCCGGCCUGAGAGGGUGGACGGUCACACUGGGACUGAGACACGGCCCAGACUCCUACGGGAGGCAGCAGUGGGGAAUAGUGCACAAUGGGCGCAAGCCUGAUGCAGCGACGCCGCGUGAGGGAUGGAGGCCUUCGGGUUGUGAACCUCUUUCGCCAGUGAAGCAGGCCUGUCCCUUGUGGGUGGGUUGACGGUAGCUGGAUAAGAAGCGCCGGCUAACUACGUG